AUCCAGACUCCUACGGGAGGCAGCAGUGGGGGAUAUUGCACAAUGGGGGGAACCCUGAUGCAGCGACGCCGCGUGGGUGGAGGAGCGUUUCGGCGCGUAAAGCCCUGUCAGCAGGGAAGAAAAUGACGGUACCUGAAGAAGAAGCCCCGGCUAACUACGUGCCAGCAGCCGCGGUAAUACGUAGGGGGCAAGCGUUAUCCGGAUUUACUGGGUGUAAAGGGGGCGCAGACGGCGAUGCAAGCCAGGAGUGAAAGCCCGGGGCCCAACCCCGGGACUGCUCUUGGAACUGCGUGGCUGGAGUGCAGGAGGGGCAGGCGGAAUUCCUGGUGUAGCGGUGAAAUGCGUAGAUAUCAGGAGGAACACCGGUGGCGAAGGCGGCCUGCUGGACUGCAACUGACGUUGAGGCCCGAAAGCGUGGGGAGCAAACAGGAUUAGAUACCCUGGUA
This 446-nucleotide ribosomal RNA is filed under the name uncultured bacterium. Its description in RNAcentral is "partial 16S ribosomal RNA". It matches the Rfam family "Bacterial small subunit ribosomal RNA", at positions 329 to 792 of the family's 1533-position model. The record is from RNAcentral.